RNAcentral lists this ribosomal RNA (1193 nucleotides) under Nematoda environmental sample. Its description in RNAcentral is "SSU rRNA". It matches the Rfam family "Eukaryotic small subunit ribosomal RNA", at positions 95 to 1300 of the family's 1831-position model. The record is from RNAcentral. Lineage: Eukaryota; Metazoa; Nematoda.
GGCUCAUUAUUCAGUAAUAAUCUACUUGAUUUUGACUUCUCCUACUUGGAUAACUGUGGUAAUUCUAGAGCUAUACAUGCAUUAAAGCUCCGACCUCACGGGAAGAGUGCAUUUAUUAGGACAAAACCAGCGGCUUCGGCUGUUUUCGGUUGACUCAUAGUAACUGAGCUGAUCGCACGGUCUUGCACCGGCGACGUGUCUUUCGAGUUCUGGCGUAUCAACUUUCGAUGGUAGUGUAUCUGACUACCAUGGUGAUCACGCGUAACGGAGAAUUAGGGUUCGACUCCGGAGAGUUCGCCUGAGAAAUCGCGAACACAUCUAAGGAAGGCAGCAGGCGCGAAAAUUACCCACUCUCAGCACGAGGAGGUAGUGACGAAAAAUAACGAGACCGUUCUCUUACGAGGCCGGUCAUCGGAAUGGGUACAAUUUAAACCCUUUAACGAGUAUCUAUGAGAGGGCAAGUCUGGUGCCAGCAGCCGCGGUAAUUCCAGCUCUCAAAGUGCAUAGAAUUAUUGCUGCGGUUAAAAAGCUCGUAGUUGGAUCUGUGCCUACGGACGUGGUCUACCUUCGGGUAUGUACUACGCUCCUGGGCUUUUUGCUGGUUUUCCCGUCGUGGCCUUCACUGGUUGCGGCGGGUGACUGGCGAGUUUACUUUGAGAAAAUCAGAGUGCUCAAAACAGGCGUAUCGCUUGAAUGAUUGUGCAUGGAAUAAUAGAAAAGGAUUUCGGUCCUCUUUUAUUGGUUUUGUGGACUGAGAUAAUGGUUAACAGGGACAAACGGGGGCAUUCGUAUCGAUGCGUGAGAGGUGAAAUUCUUGGACCGUAUCGAGACGCCCUACUGCGAAAGCAUUUGCCAAGAAUGUCUUCAUUAAUCAAGAACGAAAGUCAGAGGUUCGAAGGCGAUCAGAUACCGCCCUAGUUCUGACCGUAAACGAUGCCAACUAGCGAUCUGCCGGUGGAUUUUUAGCCCUGGUAGGUAGCUUCCCGGAAACGAAAGUCUUCCGGUUCCGGGGGAAGUAUGGUUGCAAAGCUGAAACUUAAAGGAAUUGACGGAAGGGCACCACCAGGAGUGGAGCCUGCGGCUUAAUUUGACUCAACACGGGGAAACUCACCCGGCCCGGACACCGUAAGGAUUGACAGAUUGAUAGCUCUUCAUGAUUCGGUGGUUGGUGGUGCAUGGCCGUUUCUUAGUUA